Molecule: non-coding RNA, 135 nt
Organism: Triticum aestivum (bread wheat)
Lineage: Eukaryota; Viridiplantae; Streptophyta; Magnoliopsida; Poales; Poaceae
Source: Rfam
GAUGUACCCCCUCUGUCCUAAAAUUCUUGUCGUAGAUUUGUCUAGAUACGGAUGUAUCUAACACUAAAAUGUGACUAGAUACAUCUGUAUGUAGAUAAAUCUAAGACAAGAAUUUUGGGACGGAGGGAGUAUAAA